This 225-nucleotide unclassified non-coding RNA is filed under the name fungal sp. RNAcentral describes it as "partial internal transcribed spacer region". The stretch from base 1 to 46 matches the Rfam family "Eukaryotic small subunit ribosomal RNA", at positions 1786 to 1831 of the family's 1831-position model. Lineage: Eukaryota; Fungi. The record is from RNAcentral. RNAcentral also lists the same sequence under 2 other names.
AAGUCGUAACAAGGUCUCCGUUGGUGAACCAGCGGAGGGAUCAUUACCGAGUUAUUACUCCAAACCCUUUGUGAACCUUACCAUUUUGUUGCUCGGCGUACCGCGGGCCGCGGCUUCGGCCCGUCCCGCAGCGCGCCAGAGGACCCAACUCUUCAAUUUAUAGCGUACCUUCUGAUUUACAAAACAAACAAGUUAAAACUUUCAACAACGGAUCUCUUGGUUCUG